UGAAUACGAGAUGCUACGGCGUCGAAGCAGUCUAUGUCAUACUUCCAAGAAAAGCUUGCACUGUCAUAAACAAAUAAUGCCUGUACCAUAACCGACACAGGUGGGUAGGUAGAGUAUACUAAGGGGCGCGAGAUAACUCUCUCUAAGGAACUCGGCAAAAUGACUCCGUAACUUCGGGAGAAGGAGUGCCUUAUUUAUAAGGUUGCAAUAACAAGAUCCAAGCAACUGUUUACCAAAAACACAGGUCUCCGCUAAGUCGUAAGACGAUGUAUGGGGGCUGACGCCUGCCCAGUGCCAGAAGGUUAAAGAAGUUGGUUAGCAUCCGCGAAGCUGAUAACUGAAGCCCUGGUGAACGGCGGCCGUAACAAUAACGGUCCUAAGGUAGCGAAAUUCCUUGUCGGGUAAGUUCCGACCCGCACGAAAGGCGUAAUGAUUUGGAUACUGUCUCGGAGAGGGGCUCGGUGAAAUAGACUUGUCUGUGAAGAUGCGGACUACCUGCACCAGGACAGAAAGACCCUAUGAAGCUUUACUGUAACCUGAAAUUGAAAUUGGACUUUACUUGCGCAGUAUAGGUGGGAGGCGUUGAGAAUAUUCUUGCGGGAUUAUUGGAGCCAUCAGUGAGAUACCACUCUUGUAAUGUUAGAUUUCUAACUUUGUAUCAUUAUCUGGUCAAAGAACAGUUUCAGGCGGGCAGUUUGACUGGGGCGGUCGCCUCCUAAACGGUAACGGAGGCGCACAAAGGUUUCCUCUGAACGGGUAGAAAUCGUAUCUAGAGUGUAAAGGCAUAAGGAAGCUUGACUGAGAGACCUACAAGUCGAGCAGGGACGAAAGUCGGUCUUAGUGAUCUGACGGUGCUGAGUGGAAAGGCCGUCACUCAACGGAUAAAAGUUACUCUAGGAUAACAGGCUGAUCUCCCCCAAGAGUUCACAUCGACGGGGAGGUUUGGCACCUCGAUGUCGGCUCAUCGCAUCCUGGGGCGGUAGUACGUCCCAAGGGUUGGGCUGUUCGCCCAUGAAAGCGGUACGCGAGCUGGGUUCAGAACGUCGUGAGACAGUUCGGUCCAUAUCCGGUGUAGGCGUUAGAAUAUUGAGAGGAGCCUUCUUUAGUACGAGAGGACCGAGAAGGACAUACCUCUGGUGUACCAGUUAUCGUGCCAACGGUAAACGCUGGGUAGCUAUGUGUGGAGUGGAUAACCGCUGAAAGCAUCUAAGUGGGAAGCCCACCUCAAGAUAAGUAUUCUC
This 1241-nucleotide ribosomal RNA is filed under the name metagenome. Its description in RNAcentral is "bacterial LSU rRNA". It matches the Rfam family "Bacterial large subunit ribosomal RNA", at positions 1564 to 2815 of the family's 2925-position model. The record is from RNAcentral.